Haliotis rubra (blacklip abalone) is the source of this 105-nucleotide long non-coding RNA. RefSeq lists it as uncharacterized. Lineage: Eukaryota; Metazoa; Mollusca; Gastropoda; Lepetellida; Haliotidae. The record is from RefSeq and is a predicted model, not a curated record. The transcript is spliced from 3 exons.
AACAACUGGUCUCUGAAAUGAACAUAUUUUACAGAAAAAAAGUUCAUAAGUUAUAAUCAUAAAAUACAAUGAAACGGAGACCAGAGACUUUCUUCAUUUUCAAAC